AUGUGGCUCAGUGGUUAGAGCAUUUGCUUACAAUGCAUGAAGGCCUGAGUUCCAUCCUCAACAU
Molecule: transfer RNA, 64 nt
Filed under: Neotoma lepida (desert woodrat)
Lineage: Eukaryota; Metazoa; Chordata; Mammalia; Rodentia; Cricetidae
Rfam family: tRNA
About the family: Transfer RNA (tRNA) molecules are approximately 80 nucleotides in length. Their secondary structure includes four short double-helical elements and three loops (D, anti-codon, and T loops). Further hydrogen bonds mediate the characteristic L-shaped molecular structure. tRNAs have two regions of fundamental functional importance: the anti-codon, which is responsible for specific mRNA codon recognition, and the 3' end, to which the tRNAs corresponding amino acid is attached (by aminoacyl-tRNA synthetases). tRNAs cope with the degeneracy of the genetic code in two manners: having more than one tRNA (with a specific anti-codon) for a particular amino acid; and 'wobble' base-pairing, i.e. permitting non-standard base-pairing at the 3rd anti-codon position.
Source: Rfam by way of RNAcentral